This is a long non-coding RNA of Capsicum annuum, 955 nucleotides long. RefSeq lists it as uncharacterized. The record is from RefSeq and is a predicted model, not a curated record. The transcript is spliced from 2 exons. NCBI's taxonomy places the organism in Eukaryota, Viridiplantae, Streptophyta, Magnoliopsida, Solanales, Solanaceae.
AAAAACAAAUAAUCCAGAUUGGCUGGAUUCAACCUAGGCUCAAAAAAUGAACAAAACAAAAACCAAAUAAAAUCUAUCUAUAAAUCCAAGAUAUGGAGAGUUAACUAUUUGUCUUCAUUCAUUAUUUCCAAGAUCAAAUCGAUCGUCUCUUUUCUUCUAAUGACGAGACAAAGAUGGAGAAUUCCAAACUAUAUUCUCUAUGUUGAGGCUCUAAUCCUAAAUCUACACUUUAUCGAGUUUGAGGUAUUUUUACGCAAUUAAUUCAAAAUUCUCACAAAUGUCAUGUGAACCAGCUCAAUAAAGACUUUUUCGACUAAAUAGAGGCCAAUCUGAUAAGCUCAAGGGUACAUCAUAGAGUUUCUCUUCCUUUUUUGUCUACUUUUGUUAGGAUCUAAACUCUCUUUCAUAUUUCUUGAUGUGUGCAGUUUAGUUGCAGAGUAAAAUGUAUAAAUAAGUUCCUUGAUGAUAUGUAUUGCCAUUCCAUUGAAUUGAUAUUUAGUUUCCCCAUAUUUAUUGUUUUCCAAGAGAAUGAGCUUACUAUGAAGCUGAUACCACCUCUUGAGAUUCAAAAAGGAUUGUGGCUUAUAUAUGCUAACAUAUGUUGAGUGUCUUACUUUUGGUGAAGAUGUUCCAUCUGUUGGUUUUGACCCAGAUCUUAUUCGCACAAGAUAUGCUUUACUUUUGUGGGAUUAUGGUUCGACGAAAGAAGAAGUGAAGGCACAAAGUGAUGAUGGAGCACCAAUGAGGCCUUCUUGAAAAAUUAGGAUAACAGAAGACACUGAAGUGCAUGAUCUUUGAUGUGUAUUUUUAUUUUGUUGAAGUUUACAACAGUUAACAUUAGGUGGAUAAACAAUAUGUUGAAUAUUUCUUAAGUUUCAUAUGUUACUUUAAUAUUCAAAGAUGAUAUAUUAAUGUUUAUUUACUGUUAUAUUAAGAUUUUUGAUGUUUAAUCUUU